GGGAAUCUUGCGCAAUGGGCGAAAGCCUGACGCAGCAACGCCGCGUGGGGGAUGAAGGCCUUCGGGUUGUAAACCCCUUUCAGGAGGGAAGAAAUUGACGGUACCUCCAGAAGAAGGACCGGCCAACUACGUGCCAGCAGCCGCGGUAAGACGUAGGGUCCGAGCGUUAUCCGGAAUCAUUGGGCGUAAAGAGCUCGUAGGCGGUUCAGCAAGUCGGCUGUGAAAGUCCGAGGCUCAACCUCGGAAUUGCAGUCGAUACUGCUGUGACUCGAGUCCGGUAGAGGAGAAUGGAAUUCCCGGUGUAGCGGUGAAAUGCGCAGAUAUCGGGAGGAACAUCAGUGGCGAAGGCGACUUCCUGGGCCAAUACUGACGCUGAGGUGCGAAAGCGUGGGGAGCA
RNAcentral lists this ribosomal RNA (397 nucleotides) under uncultured bacterium. RNAcentral's name for it is "bacterial SSU rRNA". It matches the Rfam family "Bacterial small subunit ribosomal RNA", at positions 357 to 770 of the family's 1533-position model. The record is from RNAcentral.